UCCAUACUCAAAAUGGUUUAGCAGAGGCAUUUAUCAAGCGGCUUCAAUUAAUAGCCCGCACUCUGCUCAUGAAAACGAAAUUGCCAGUUUCUACAUGGGGACAUGCCAUAUUACAUGCUGCAUCAUUGGUUAGAUUGAGACCCAUAGCCAACCACCAAUACUCAUCAAUACAACUCGUGUUUGGACAUCAGCCAAAUAUUUCACAUUUACGAGUUUUUGGUUGUGCUGCUUAUGUGCCUAUUGCACCACCACAACGAACUAAAAUGGGACCUCAGCGCAGAUUGGGAAUUUAUGUGGGUUUUGAUUCACCAUCUAUCAUUAGAUAUUUGGAACCUUUGACUGGUGAUGUGUGUUUACAGCUCGUUUUGCUGAUUGUCAUUUUGAUGAGACAAUUUUCCCGUCGUUAGGGGGAGAAAAGACCGUUCCAGAAGAACGACAAGACAAGAGCUAACAUGGGUUGUUCCCACCUUAUCUCAUUUUGAUCCAAGAAGCACUCAAUGUGAAAACGAAGUGAAAAGAAUCGUUCAUCUUCAAGGUAUUGCUAAUCAAAUGCCAGAUGCAUUUAAUGAUGCUUCGAAAGUGACACAGUCAUAUUAUACCGGCUGCAAACGCACCUGCAAGAAUUGAUGUCCCUGUUGGACAAAAUAAAGUGGCAGCGAAUGAUUCAUCCAGUGCACGCCUGAAAGCGUGGUAGACCCCCAGGUUCAAAAGAUUCAGCUCCUCGAAAGAGAAAGAUGAGGGCCCAAAUUGAACCCAAAUGAUAUCAUUCAAGAAAAGGAAUUGAAUGAUAAAUCCACAAUUCGUGACUCUGUACUUCCAGAAAAAGAAAAUGUCCUUGAUGAGACACAUGUCCCUGAAGAGAUAGAAGUACAUGAAAGCAAAGAAAUAUCCAUAAAUUAUGCAUGUACUAAUGAAUUGUGGGAUCGAAAUGAAAUAAUCAUCGAUGACAUGUUUGCAUUUGCAAUAGCCACUGAAAUCAUAUUAAGUGAUGAUAUUGAGCCCCGCUCUGUUGAUGAAUGCAAACAGAGACAAGAUUGGCCUAAGUGGAAAAGAUGCAAUCCAGGCAGAAUUAAAAUCCUUGGAAAGACGAAGUGUUUUUGGACCAGUAGUCCAAACCCUGCCUGGUGUGAACCCCGUAGGUUAUAAAUGGGUAUUCACAAGGAAACGCAACGAGAAAAACGAGAUUGCAAGAUAUAAAGCACGACUCGUUGCACAAGGUUUUUCACAAAGACCUGGAGUUGAUUAUGAAGAGACAUACUCUCCUGUAAUGGAUGCAAUUACGUUUCGUUACUUAAUAAGUUUGGUGAUUUCAGAAAAACUUGACAUGCGACUUAUGGAUGUCAUCACUGCGUAUCUAUAUGGAGAAUUAGAUACUGACAUAUAUAUGAAAGUCCCAGAAGGACUUAAGUUGCCUGAAGCAACUAACAAACCACGGGGUAUGUUCUCAAUCAAAUUAAGGCGAUCAUUAUAUGGGCUGAAACAAUCUGGGCGAAUGUGGUAUAAUCGUCUCAGUGAGUAUUUGAUUAAAGAAGGAUAUGCCAACAAUGUCAUCUGCCCUUGUGUGUUCAUUAAGAAAUCAAAUACUGGAUUUGCUAUAGUGGCAGUAUAUGUCGAUGAUAUGAACCUAGUUGGAACCCCCCGAAGAGCUCAACAAAACUGCUGAAUAUCUGAAAAACGAAUUUGAAAUGAAAGACCUUGGGAAAACCAAAUAUUGUCUAGGCCUGCAGAUCGAGCAUUGUGUUAGUGGAAUUUUGGUCCAUCAAUCAGCUUACAUUGAAAAAAUACUGAAGCGAUUUGGCAUGGACAAAGCUUAUCCACUUAGCACCCCAAUGGUCGUUCGUUCUUUGGACAUUAAGAAAGAUCCAUUUCGUCCAAAAGAAGAUGAUGAACUGGUCCUUGGUCCAGAAGUACCAUAUUUGAGCGCAAUAGGUGCUUUAUUGUAUUUAGCACAAUGUACUAGACCAGAUAUAGCUUUUUCAGUUAACUUGUUAGCCAGGUACAGCUCUGCUCCAACAAUUCGUCAUUGGAAGGGAGUCAAAGAUGUUCUACGAUACCUUCGUGGGACAACAGAUAUGGGUCUCUUUCUACUCAGACAAGCCCACAAAUGAACAAAUCCUUGUUUGGAUACGCAGAUGCUGGUUUUCUCUCCGAUCCGAUCAAUAAAGCCCGCUCACAAAAUGGAUAUGUGUUCACUAAUGGAUGGAAACACUGCAAUUUCAUGGCGAUCAACAAGCAAACGCUAGUUGCAACAUCUUCUCCAAUCAUUCGGAAUAAUUGCUGCUUACAUGAAGCAAGUCGUGAAUGUGUUCUUGGUUAAAGAUCAAUGAUCCAUCACAUCCGGAAUUCAUGUGGUCUACCUUCAACCUUCAAAAACGAAGACCACUGAAGAUCCAACUUGUCAUCCAUGAGAUUUCAAAUGUAAGCCUGAAGUCGCCAAGUUUAUCAAAAAAGGAUUUAUCAAUAUCUCCAAAUGAUUAGCUCAAAGUUAGCUUUUGAAGGCUAAAGUUCUUGAAGUCAGAGACAAAUCCGAUUUCCAAUGAAAAUUUACUUGUUCACCAAAUCUCUACCAAAGUGCACAUUUCAGAAGUUGGUACAGGGAAUCGGAUUACGUCGGCUUACAGAUUUGAAAAAUGCGGAAUCAGGGGGAGAUACAAUUCAGGGGGAGCAUCCAUGAUACAUGCAUGUUGUACUCUUUUUCCUUCGCUUAGGAUUUUUCCCCACUGGGUUUUUCCUAUCAAGGUUUUAACGAGGCAACCUAAGCAUGCUCAACACCAUCCGGGUAAAGUUGUACUCUUUUUCCUUCGCUAUGGUUUUUUCCCACAGGGUUUUUCCAAGCAAGGUUUUAAUGAGGCAACUGAUGUUGAUAUGUGGGCAUCCAAGGGGGAGUGUUGUAAAUGAUGGGUAUGUUUGCCCACAUGUGUAUAGUAAUGUGCAUAGUAAAGUAUCACAUGUGUACUAUAUACUCAUAAGCUAAAUAGUAAUGUUUUGUAAUUUUCCAUUGAAGUAGCUCUAUAAAUAGAGCAAUUCAAUUGUGCAAAGAUUAGUGAAUGAGAAGAAGAAAGAAAAGAGAAAUAUAUCUAAUAGCAAUAAUAUACAUUACUUCCUCUGCAACAGCUUGUGUCGGUAUAUUACUCUGCAACUGCUUCGUUCCUUCACCGAGUAAAGGUUAUCUCUCUAUAAAUUUUGCCUAUUUAUAACAGGCUGAACUUUUUGAUAUUUAUAGAUAGAAACUUAUCAAUUUUUUCUUUUCUUUCUAAAUAUCUUUUAUAAUCCCUUUUAGUUUGGACUAUAUAUUCACUUAAUCAAGGUUAUUUUUUCUCAAGUAUCAUUUUUUAUCUCUUUUUAGUUCAUUUUUUUUGUUCAAGCGAUAGUGAAAUAUUCAUUUACUGAUUGGAGUAAUCGAUGUAGAAAUUUCAUGGUAAAAGUGGAGAUCAAUUCCUGCUUUUGAAAUUUAGUGUGUGAUCGCUCAAGUAGUUGUAAUUACUUUCUAUAAAUCCUUUUUAAAUCAAAUAAAAUUUUCCCUUCUACAAAUUUAAGGAUUAAUAUAAUUCUUAGUGCAAUAUUCCAAAAGUUAUUCAAUUCAUUUUUUCAAACUUGGUUACUUCAAAUAUUGUUCACUCCUGGUCAAUCCUAAGAUGAGCACUAAAUGGAUUUUCGCUUAUAGUGUCAAAUAAAACAUAAACACUUUAGAACAUAAUUAAUCAAUUAAAUUAAAAACAAUAAAGAAGAUCAUGAAAGGGGCUUGAAAGACUGUCCUAAGUCGAAACUUAAUCUUCACAAACACUUAAGGAAGAUUGAGAAUGGUAAGAUAUUAAGGUUGAUAUGUUUACCAAGCCAUUCUUUAAAGCGAUUUCGAAGCUACUAAAGGGCAUUAAUAUGAAAAUACAAACAAGGCUAUCACAUGAGUAAUAUUCAAAAAUUAAACAACUCCAAAUAAUUGACAAAGAUAGGAAAAACUUCCUAAAUUGAAUUUGGGUCAAGAAAUUGUCAUCUGCAAAUUGUCUAUUCCAAAAAUUUUUGAUUGGAUUUAUCUUCUGGAAAAUUCUGAACCAAUAUGGUGAAACAUUAUUAAAACACACGAUCUCUAUUCUUUCAAAAUAUUCCACCAAAUACUAUCCAACAUGGCAAAAUCGAUGAAAGCUUCAAAUCUUCCAAUUGAUUAAACUUAACAAGAUGACUAGCAUGGUUCAUGAACUUAAAAAAUAACUGUUACAUAGUGAAAGAAUAAACCCUAAAGAUAAAUAAAAGGAACUUAUGUAAUAACAAACAAUGACACAAACUAGGAAAGAAUCCUUCUUGGCUUGGGAAACAUGUCAUCUGUCUUGCACGCCAGUUUUGGGAUUGAUUUAUCUUCUGGAAAAUUCUGUAAAAAUAUGGGAAACAUAGCUUUAUCUCUUAUCUUUCCAACCAUAUGUCGCACACCACUAGGAAAAUCGGGAAAGCCUUCAAAUCUUCAUUCUCCUACAGCUGUGCAGUUCUGACUGUAAAACAACUGUUGCGGGAUUGAUUUGUGAAACUGGAAUGAAUGGCUCCAUGAAAAAUUAUGAAAUUCAGACAAAACGAUCUUCAGCCUCUUAGCUUCAUUCUCCAAUUGGCCAUGCAUCAAAACUCCUCCGGAAAGUCGAAUUAUCACCAAAAACGUCAUGCAUGCGCAGAUUGGCUGAAACAGAGAAAAUGAAAGUAAUAAGGUUCUUUUAUAAUAAAUUCCUUAACAAAACAUAGGGAUAAAUGAUAUGAAAAUAUGAUAAAUAAUGCACCUAUCAAAGACAGUACUAGCAUUCAUUCUAUUUAUGUGCAGCACCUUAUUUACUUCUUGCUAUUGACGCAUUUUACAAAUUUUAUGUAAGAAAAAUUCAGUUUCUUAAUUAUUAUUUAAAGAUUAUUUGUAAAAAAGUUUUUUUUUUUGAAUUAGAGAUUGUUUAGACAUAUAUAUAUAUAUAUAUAUAUAUAUAUAUAUAUAUAGAUGAUUAAACGGUCUCCGAUAUAAUUUAUAAUUUAUAGAGAUGAUCUUUAAAAGAGAAUUAAGGAAAUGAAUAGUUUUGAUUAUGAACUACUUUAUACGAAAAAAAAUACAUUAAUCGCAUGAGUGGACAAAGUGGUGCACUCCAUGAGAUCAUGGACUGAGCCACCUCUAGCUCAGAGGGAGCGGAUGCCCUCACUCAUUUUUUUUGGGUGGAAAAAAUGCACAUAAUGCAUAUAGCAAUCUCACGUGAUAGAGUUGUUUGGGCUAUGAAAUUUUUGAUAAAUCGAUUGAGAAAUUGAUUGGAGGAUUAAUGGAUGAGUAAUAACAGGUUAUUUUUAUAGAGAUAUUUGAUGGUAUUGGUAAUUAAGAAAGUAUGUCAAGUAAUAUUGUAAUAUAUUGUAUAAAAAACCUUAUCAGUUAGUAUUUUGUUUAGUAAAUUCUUAAGCUUUUUAAUUCGUGACUUUGUUGUCUGAGGAUGCUGCCAUCCAUAUAGAUAUUUGGCUUCGUCUCUGCAUGAGAUGGAUGCAAGUAUUUUCCAUAUUAGAAGGGCAUUUUGAUCUUUAAAUUGGUAUUUCACUUCCAUUUAGGGGUUGCAAAUGAUUUUAUGUCUUUGUGGACAAGUAUUUUGGAGAAGGAAUUCAGUGGAAAAAGAAGAGAAAACGUAUAGUGAGGAGAACAAUCGAAGCAACCAACGUGUGACACCGUCUGUGGACGGUGGAUGGGUUUUUUUUUUGUGCACUACUUUACGUAGAAGAUAAACAAAGCAAAGCAAACAUACAUAAAUAUAUAUUUCCUAAAGACUAAAGAGUAAAGACCAGCUGCUUUUGUUUACCAAAAAUAAAAUAAAAAUAGACCACAAGUCCAACUGGGUCAAGUAAGUACCAUUUCCGUGAAAAACUCAUGUACUCGUAAUUUUUGUAGAUUUUUGAUAGAGUAAUGCUAGGAAGACUAAAUUUACAAACUAAAUGAUAUGUAACCAAUAGGAAUAAACACGUUUAUCAAUGUUUAAGUAAUCAACCAAUCAUCAACUUCCAUGUUCUUUAGUUUUCAAAACUUUGUCUCCAAAUUUAAUCUCCCUAACAUUACCCUUCUUGAUUUAUGUUCAUAGUCUUUAUUAAUUAAAGCCCGUUAAAGUUAAUAAAUUAAGUUUAUGGGUUGGUCAAUUGUUCCGCGGGGUGAUCAUUAUCAUGCGUGUUAUAUAUAUAUAUAUAUAUAUACGGUCUAAUAAAUUUAUAUACGGGGCAUCGAUCUCAUCUUGAUCAUCAUAAUAAUCGUGUAGGUUGAUUGUAUGAUUUGGUUAAGGCAUUUGGACGACUAAAAUGCUUACGAGUACGGCAACUAUAUAUAUAGUAUGUAUAUAAGGGACAUUCUACAGUACUAAUUAAAAUAAAGUGUACGUGGUAUCCCUUGUGAAUAAAUUACAUUAUAAUCUCAAAAGUUUACUGUCUAAAUGUUACAUAGUAAUGGUGAACUAUAGAAUUAAUGAUGUUAUUUAUUAUACUUAUCAGCUUUGAUUGGUAGAAAUUGAAAAAUAUUAUAGUAUACAAUUAUCCGUGGACGGUAUCGUCGUUAUUCAUCUUAAUUUCACACUUAAUGAUAUUCAAUAUUACAAUAUUACAUUAAUAUUUAAUGUAAGAAUUACAAGGAUUGUAAACUUACACUCUAUGAUAAUAGUAAGAUUAACACAAAAUGACACUGUCAUGAUUAUAACGAGAUUGAUUUUAUCGUUUGUUGUGAAUGUCAUAUUACAUCAUAUAUAUAUAUAUAUGUGUGUGUGUGUGUGUGUGUGUGUGUGUGUGUGUCUGUGUGUUCAAACAAUUAACAGGAACGUAGACAACCGAUAUUCCCCAAAACGGCAGUAGCGAGUACGAGUUAGGAUCCUGGCGUACGCCAUCUAGAGAUUUAAGCGGUCCUUGCAGUACUGUAGUGCAUGCAUGUUUAGUCACAAUAAUUUUGAUAGUGUGAGAGCGAGGUGUAGAUUCUAGAAAAUGAUCGCUUCAGUGCGGUAUCUCCCAUGGACCAAACAAGUACGUACGUGGUUUCAUCUCCUUGUUUGUUGAUCGAAAUCAUUAGUUGAGAACUAACAACAACUCAUCAUCGAUGGCCUUCUUUCAAAGAUACUUUAAUCUUUGAGAAAUUUUUAUGGUCUAAUUUGGACUACUUUCUGCCAGAAACAUCGAUUUUUCUGAGAAUUAAACUCACAAUCUUAUCCCACUAAAUCCUUUUAGUUAUUCAUAGGUUGAAAAAGCAAAAUUGAUCUGAUUUAUUGCUUAUAUUAUAAUAUAUAUAUAUAGUGUUUUUUUCUUGACAUGUUAAAUAAUCAAAGUCGAUUAUGAUUUCAGUAUUUGAUCAUUGUAUAUGUUUAGGGAAACUUAAUUCCAAUAUAUACUUGAUCAAUAUGUGAAAAAAGACUUCCGCAAUUCAAUGAUUAAUUUCAAUACAUCAGUUUUGUGUAUCUAAAUAGCAUUAUUAUUUCUAUAUAAAUUUGAAAUUGGAGCAACUUUAUAGCGUGGAGCAACAUUGCAGGCAUAUAACAGUUAAAAGGCCACACAGCGGGGUGUGUGUGUUGAAACCUUGAUCACUUUGAUGCAAAAUCAUGAAUAAUUUACUAAAUAGGAACAAAACAUGUUGCACGUUUGAUGAGGCUAAGAACAGAUGGAAAUCAUUUGUUCUUCUAUUUCUGUAAGUUCUUACAAGGGAGAAAGGUGAGAUAAGGCUACAUGAUAAUUAGAGUAUAUAUCUGUGAACACGGAAAAUUCCCGAAAUUUCGAUGUCUACAAUAUCAUGUGUUGAAAGAAUAGAAAUGAAAAAAUAUAAAGGAAAAAAGUUACUUUUUUUUUUUCAACUAUUAUUGUUUGCUGCAGGAAAAAGUGAAUUUUGGAUUUGGUGGCUGAGUUUAUGAUACUCAAAUGCAAUGAAUUUGGCCAAGGAGAAUAGUUGAUCGGCUUUUUGCUCUUAUAAAUGGUUCACGUUUUAUAGUACAGUGAAAUUGUGAAAAAAUAUCUUACACCGGAAGUUAUAAAACGGUGCAUGUGAUUAUAAGAAGAUUAUUCAUCUCAUAUUAGCCAUGUUUUUACGGUGACUUCUUAACUUCCUUAAAUUAUAUAGUGUAGUAGAAGAGGUGAUCUGUCGGAGGGUAAGUACGUAAAUGUGAAAGAAAGGACGUGGCAAUUAGGUAAACUAAAAUCCCGAAGGGCAAGUUUAUCUCUAUUAAUCUCUAUUAAUUAAUGAACCCUCUUUGUCAACCAAAAAGGGUGAAAAAACUACUUAGUCUUCUAUCACACUCAAAAAAAUGAUGGGCAAUAAUGUAAUUUCAUAGGUCCAAAUUUUACUGUUUUUUAUUGAGACUUCACCUACAUAUGAUGUUAAAAUACCUCCAAUAUUUGAAAAAAAAAACCUCUCACUCCCCCCCACGUUCUCUCUCCUCCUCUCUACUUCUCAUUUUCUAAAAAAAUAUGUUCAUACAUACAAAGUAUGUAGGUAAAUGCCAGUACCUAUUAUAUCAGCUUUAAAUCAGUUAAAGGCUCAGAGCUGUGGCUCAUUGAAGAAAAUGAAGUGGAGGGUGGUGAAUUGUGAUAUGGACGUGCAGUCCACGUAGGACGGUGAUGGUCGGCCGUGGCCUCCAAUCAUGCGGCUGACCGCAUCAUUGAACUCCCUGUGGUCCCCGGCAUAACAUGGCUUUUCCGUCCCUAAAUAACCCUUCCUCUCCAUAGGUUCUUACUAGCUAGAUGGGACGGCGAGCGAACUUAAGAAUCUCUCUCCCCAUCUAGUGGUUGAGUUAUCAAACUGCUUGAUAGUUAUUUACGCGUGUAUAGUCGAUCACUAUUGAAAGCCAUUUAUAUGAUUUGAGAUAUUGUCACGGUUGCAUGGUUACAAAAAAUAAGUGUAUUUAAUACAUCUAGUUUACGAGGUAUUGAAUGCAAUGGUCAUGCUAUUGCGACAUUAUCCAAAGCCAAUAGUCACUGUCAUGUCAAAAGGUUAAACACAUAAUUGUACAUAACUUUCGAACGUCAACAAAUAUUACAUCAUGAUAGAAGUAAAUUUCUCUUGUAGUUUAUACGUGGUCUUACUUUCUAUCAUGAGGUGUUUUUCACACACACUUUUCAGCUUCUCAUUCACUCCUCUUGAUUUCUAGUCAUCGGAUUCAAUAUAUAAACGAAUACAACGAUCAAGAUUAAACAAGGUGUGUGAAAGGCUAAAAAAGAUAUGUGUUUAUCGUUUCCCUUUCUAUUUUACUAUCAUGAAAUUUCCAAUUAUCAGCUUUUAGUACCCAAAGUGUUUUUGUGUCACUUUCUUACUCAAAUAUUUUAUUUUUUUGGUACUUUCAUACAUCCGUUAGCUAUCGACUAUUUGCUAAGUCUUCCUUUUACCUAUGACAUGACAUGCCUUUGAGCUGCCCAGAAGUUUAUUUUUGGUGAGGCAACUUAAAGAAACAAAAUUUGGAAGGCAGAAGGCCUAAGUAAAAAUUUUAGGAGACCGAAGGUUUCCAUGUCAUCAGUUAAUAGAGAAUUUAACGAAUAGACUUAACAGAUUUAUGAAAGUGGUAAAUAAAUAAAUAAAAUCCACGUUUGGGGCACAAAAGAGACGCAAAAAAAAAAAAACUUUUACUAAAUGCUGAAUUAGAAAGUUCAAGAUAGUAAUAUGAAAAUUAUUCUACUUUCCAACAAAGAGUUAGGCCAUUAGGCUCAUUCGAACUAUAAAAGUAUGUUGAUGAGUUAAACUUGAUUUAACCAAAAGUUGCAAACACAAAAAUGAAAAAGCUAGCUGUGUUGCUUCAAAGGAAAAAAAAAAAAAAAAAAAAAAAAGCUAGCUGUGUCGAAAAUGUGACUGUUAGGGUUAGCGUAACCAGCAAAAGGAGAUUCUUGGGGGUCCUAUUAGGAUCUUUUAGACCUUUUUGACAUCGACCACCCUCCAAACUUUCUCUCUCAAGUCUCAACCUCAGAAUUACAACUUACCCUUUACGAAUUAUGUUUUGAAAUCAUGUCUUCUUUCUAAUAUAUGGUUUUCAUGGCGGUUGGUGAAGAGAAAUAUCCAUGAGUUUUGUCAAUUAAUAAUUAAUUACUAAUUACACAUAACAAGUAGUAGAGACUUUAUCAUCACUCUCUCUUUAUUUUGAGGUGUGAAACACAAGGUUCCUUCAGGGACAUGGAUCAUCAUUGCAUUUGUUAUAGCAACUAACUAUAAGUUCUAAUUAACAUUUUAUUUAAAAAAUAUAUAUAUUACUUCUAGGCUCUAAGACCAUAGAGGCUAUAAUUACAACGAACAAUUCUUAGAUCCUAAUUGAUGGAAUUUGUUUGUACCUUUUCUAGAAUAUUUGUGAGUGGAAAAGGUUGAAUUAAAACGUGUAUUUUGUCAUUUAUAUGAGGUGAUGAUUGAUAAUGCAAAUUAGAGUGGGUAUAUCCUGUGGCUAAUUUAUAUAAGCAUAUAUAUAUGAUCAUAUUUGAAAAGAAAAAAAAACGAAGUUAGGGACAUGAUACGGAGAUUGUAUCAUGGAUCAAUGUUUUCUAAAAUGGUAGUGAACUGGAAAUAUUGUAGUUAUGCAGGUUUUGUUAUUGGAAUCAUUGUCAUAGAAAGAUAGAGAAGAGUGUUGGAGACUCAUGGUGUGUGUGUCAAUGAAGUAACAAUGAAACAGACUGAAAAAAAGAAGGGGAAAAGAGCAUAAAGCAAUGGUAGUACAGACUUUCUAUGAUGUCUGAGCGAUUGAAUUGGUAACAUUAAUUCAUGAGAAAUGGUAUUGGCACAUGUGCUGCUAAGUGUUAUAUUUGAAUUGGUUCACUGUAGACAUCUUUUUCCUCAUUUUUUUUCCCUUAUUCAAUAAAUGUCGUACGUGAGAUUUGAACUCUGAACCUGUUUAGUAACACUCAAUAUAUAGUGGUUGCAUGUGAGAUUUGAACUCAGAACCUCUUUCAACUGGGUAAGAGUGAUGAUAUUGAUAAAUAGGUUAUCAUCUUGAACAGGAACUCUCUAGAGGAUUGAGAAAGGAUUGGAAUAGAUGCCAUGAUGUGCAACGGGGUUAGCUGAGGGGUCCUCUGCAAGCAGCAGCAGCAGCACAUAUAGCUGUGAAAAUGAGAGCUUUCUAAGGUUUCAAUGAAGAGUCCAAGUCGAAUCGAUGAUGAUGAUGAUGGCAGUUAUGAUAAUGCGUCAAUAGAAUAGACUUGUUAGAUUGGUUGCUUGUAUUGCACAGACAUGCCUCUUCUGGUUCUAGAUACAUUUUGCCCCUGAUUAGACAUGUUGAUUUGUGCUUGUUUUUUUGUCAAAAAAAGGUCUAAUAUAUUCUUGCUCUCUAGCUCUUACUGUUGUAAAAUCGACUGUGGGUGCAGUGGAAUAAAUGAAACAAGACACAAAAUUUACGAGGUUCCUCUACAGUCAGUGUGACUGGAGUACGUCCUCGGGGCAGCAGCGGCGCUUUCAUUAUAAUUUGAAAUAAUAGGAGUACAAAGAUAACUCUCUCUAUUAUCUCCUCUCAUCUUCCUCUAUUCUCUCUUCCUCUUCUUUCUCUCUCUUCUUUCCUCUCUCUCUCUCUUCCUUUCUUCCUUUCUUCCUUUUCCUUCUUCUCUCCCGUGAACCCAUUUCUUCCUCUUCCUCUCAUUCAUUUUAUAAUCAAAGAGGACACUAUUCACCUUACAAAUUUUCCACAAAUGAAUAGUGAAAAUAAUGUGAAUAAAUAGUAACAAACUAUUCAUGUGGGCCAUCCACAUAAUAUUUACAACACUCCCCCUUGGAUGGCCACAAGUCUUCGAUUGACUCGUUAAAAUCUUGAUCUGUUUUUGGAUGCUCCCCCUGAUGAGUAUCUCCCCCUGAUUUCAAAUCAUUUAGGUUGAUCGUUGAUCGUUCUGCUUUAGUCUCUUAGUAAGAAGAGUUUGCUUUACUUGUUGUUAACUUUCCACAGGCUUUUUUCUUGAACUGAGUUGUAGGACUUUCUGCUAGACUAGUAUCGAAGAUCUGAAUUUACUCCUUUUAUCUGGAGCGGAAUUUGAUUCAAAAGUGGUGGACACUUGAUCUUGAAUCGGACUUGUGAUUUCUUCAAGGACCUUCGAGGAUUGAUCUUGAAUGAAAUUGGACCAUGAGGAGCUUCAUGUGGCAAGUGAUCUUCAGUUUUGUUAGGGAUGAAUCAACACGCGUUUUGUUGCGCUUGUCUCCACAUGCUUCAAUGUAUCAUUUUCACUUUCCUUACUUGCUCCCCUUGCUUAAGUAGUAUUUUCCUUGCUUUUCCCCCAUGCAUGUGUGGCAUCUUCUCUUGUAGGAUUUGUCCCCUGAUGCAGGAGAGGAAUGCAAACCCUUGCAUUUGAAUGGUUCAUCACUUCUUGGUGACUGGAGACCCCGCUCCAACAACAAUUGAAGAUGACUACUCGAGAGCAAUACUAGGUAAGCAAUCGGGAAAGGUUCCAGGCAGUCGGUUCCUUACCGGGAGUUUGAGUGGAGGUUCCGACAUAUUGCUUUCUUUAUCCUUGUCUUUGCAGGCAAGAACAAGGACAAGGAAAUGACAGGGAGAUUGCAUGAUAUGAGAUAAUCUUGCUCUGGUCCCUGAAGAUAUGUGAUAAUCUUGCUCUGGUGUGACAUGUUUGAAGAGGUAUUCUCGGAGAGGAAGAAAACUGAGUAUUUCGAAAUGCUAUGUUGAAGAUGCAUUCUCGGAGAUGAGGAAGAGUUAGGUAUUCUUGCAGUGUUGCGGGUCUGCCUUGUUAUGGAGAACAGAGGUCGACAUAUAUAGAGAUUUCUCAAUAGCAAGUGGUGGUGCUGUGCUUUUACUCUUGUCAGCAACUGUGGUGUAAAUAGAACAGUAAGAUUUACGCGUUUUCAACUUUGUCAGAGAUCUUUGACAAAGUUGCACGCGAUAUCUGAAAAGCUGAGAUUACGUCUGAAAAAUGACAACGAACUUUAUUCAGGAAAAUCUGGCUUUUUGAAAUUCGGAGAGCCGUGUCGCUUCGAUCUUUGAACAAGCGGCUCUGUUGCCUCUUCUUUUAUAGAGACAUCAAUUGCGUUCAAGAGUAUGUUCAGAAAGUUGCUACUUGAGAAAUUUCCACCUUCUUGCACUUCUGAAAUUUUAUUUGACCUCUAUUUUUUCCUUCAUCAUUUCUGAAAAAUGACUUGCCCAUCUAACAUUUGCUUAGAUUUGAGUCUUAGGAGUGAUACAGACGAGCAGCGUCAAGAUAAUAUAUGGCGCCCGUCCUUCUUAUCUUCUAAUGGUCCUCUUACGGUUGGGGACUCUAUGAUGAAAAAUAACAUAACCGCUACUGUGGUAGCUAGGAAUCUUCUCACUCCAAGGGAUAACAAGAUCCUUUCAGAACGGUCUGAAGAGUCGGCCGUUCAAGACUCCUUGGCUCUUAGUGUUCAGUGUGCUGGCUCUGUGUCCAAUAUGGGCCAACGCUUUACUUGCUCAAACUCGCCAAAUUAAAUCAUUGAUGGCAGAGAUGACAAGUCUUAAACAAGAGAUCAGAGGGCUCAAGCACGAGAAUAGGGUGUUACACGUGCUUGCAAAUAGUUACUCUACGAGCAUGAAAAGAAAGCUCGUCCAACUGCAGGAAUCCGAAAGUCGGAUUCAAAGUGAUCACCAGAGGUUCGUUGCUAGAUUCCGAAAGCAACUGAUGCCUUCCCCUUCUGGUGUUUUGCUAAGUACUGGGGUGCCACAUGAUCAAUCUCCAGUGCCUCCCCCUUCUGGGGUACUUCCGAGUACUGAGGCUUCACAUGAGCAACCUUUGUGAAGGCUCCAUCCUGUUUGUUUAUUUUUAACUCAUGUGUAUGUAUAUAUCUGUAAUUUCUUGGAGAUAUUAAUAAAUAAGCUUUAUUUCAUUCAAUGUAUUGUGCCAAAUACAAUAAAGCAUAUACUUCACUAAGAUGUGGUACUUCUGGACCAAAUAUUAAUUUAUCUUUACCCUCACGAAGAUAAAUGAUUAUUCUUAGUGUCUUCAUCAUAUGAGUAUUCAACUCAUAAUCUUCAAUCCAUAUGGUUCUUUUAAUAUCAUAAAUAUCAUGGAUAAGAUUCGUGUUGGUAGAUUGUUCGAUCUGCAGCUCGAGACAAUAAUUCCUUCAACACUUUAUAAUUUUUUCUAGACUCUUCAGGAGUCCCAAUUUAAUAUCAUCAACUCUUCAAGAGUUAUAAAAUUUAAUGUUAUUGACUCUUGCAAGAGAUUUUAGUAUGUUGCAACAAUAUCAUAAUGAUAGUACUCACUAAGGCAAUUUAUAUCAUCCAUUGGUAUUGAGUACAUAUUUUAUGUUUUACCCUUCAGAGGCUUACUUCAAGCAAUUUGAAUCCUUCAAGGGUUUUCUACACUUCAUGACACAUUUUCCUUUGGAAUUUAUACAGAGCAAUUUGCUCCCAUGUAUACUUGAGGGAUUUACUUAUGGAAAUAUAAUGUGGGCGACUCACAACCCUUCGUAUAUAAUUCUCCAUUCAUAUGAACUCGUUUACAACUUGUGUCAUAUCAUGUAAGUGUAUUACACUAUAUUACAAAUGCCCAUAUAUAACCUCCUUGGUUUAACAUUCUUUGGCUAUUUGUAUUGUAUUCAAAUAUAUAUAGGUUCAUUUGCCCACGUUCUUACAAAAUUUGUAAUGGAAUUGCCUUUCUCCAUUUUGGCCAAUAAUUUUUCUUUUGUCGACGAACAAAAGAACGUGACUCAAUAUUAACACAACUCAUUGAUGAAUUUAGUAGCUACUUGUAAAAACCAAAAUUAUCAUUGGUUAUCAUCAAUCCGUGAUCCCAUAUUCUCAUGUGCAUGCGCAUGCAUAAAAGCUUUUCAUUUCUUUGGAUAUCCAUUGCCUCUUCAAGGGCAUGACGCUAUCUCUUCCAGGAUAGUCAUAAUUGAGAGAAUGUGGAUCAUAACCUCCUCUUGAGUGUUAUAGAGCUUGGAUUUUAAUCUCCACUUCCGGGAGUUGAGUCAUUGGAACCUAUAUGUCUAUUAUGCUUCGUGUAUGAGACAUCAACAUUCCCAUGUCUGUGGAUUGUCCUAUCUGGGACGUGUAUCCAUGCGGUGACUGUCAUGCUUCUGGCAUGCAACAGUUAUGCUUCGGGAAUGCAAUAGUUCAGUAGUGCCAUAUUAUUCUUCUUUCGAAUAACUGAACCUUUUGAGUCUAAAAAUCUGCCAUGCUUCAGGCGUGCAACAGAUAAAUCAUUUACUGUCUCAUUAUUUUAUCCAACUGAGACAUCAAUUCUUGUAGGCACAUUUGCAGUAAGUAUAUAUGAUUUCAUCACUUUCGUUGCAUCAUUCAAUUAUUCAUAUUUCAUUUUCUCAUUGAUUGCUUUGUGAAUCAAAAUAAGACAAAUUCUCUUCGUUCUUCUGGAACGGUCUUUUUUCAUCAUUCUUUUUGGAAUGAUAUUUUCUCAUCGUUCUUCUGGAACGAUAUUAUUUUCUCCCCCUAAUGGCAGGAAAAUUGUCUUAUCAAAAUGACAGUCCGCAAACCAAGCGGUAAAUAUAUCCCCAGUCAAGGGUUCUAAAUAUUGAAUGAUAGAUGAUGUUCAACAUCAAUGCCCAUUUCAGUACGUUGUGGCAGUGCAAUAGGUACAUAGAUAACACAACCAAAAACUCGUAAAUGUAUAAUGUUUCGUUGGUUCCCAAACCCGAGUUGUACUGAGAAGUAUUGAUGGUUGAUAACAUAUCUCAACCGAAUUAAUAAUGCAUCAUGUAAAGUUUACAUGUCCUCAUGUAGAAAAUUGGCAAUUUCGUUUUCAUGAGCAGAGCGCGGGAAAUCAAUUUCAUUCGCUUAAUAAAGGCUUCUGCUAAACCAUUUUGAGUAUGGACAUAAGGAACUUCUGGUCCUUAUUUAAUAGUCUGUAAACUAAGACUCUUAUGGCUUUUAUUACAAUUAAGUUAAGGCACUGCGGCACUUCAAACUUACGGUACUCAUCUAGGAACUUCAUGUCCUGAUCUUCAGGAUCAAGGGACUUCAUGCCAGAUCCUUUUGUAUGAUGGAACUUCGGGUCCAAUCAUUUUAUAUGAUGAGGAUCAAGAAACUGCAGGUUCUGAUCUGAUCAAGGAACUUCAGGUCCUGUAUAUAUUCAUAGUAACAAAAGAUAAGUACAAUAAAUAAAUUAAAGCAAUAGACGGUAAUUCCAGCCAUAAUGAAUAAAUUGCAUUUAAGUAAAUAAAGUUUGUGACAAGGGCUUUAAUUCAGCACCAUCAAAACUUAAAGCAAUAGGCGGUAAAACCGUCCAUGGUAAAUAAAUUGCUUUAAAGUAAAUAAAGCUUGUGACAAGGGCUUUGAUUCAGCACCAUUCACAUAAAUAUCAAAGCUUUAAAGCAAAGGGUAAUAAUUCUACCCACUAUAAAUAAAUUGCUUUAAUAGAACUUGUGACAUGGGCUUUAAACCAACACCAUGCACAUAAAUAUGCCAAAACAGAAAUGCAAUGAUUAAGUCCUCAUGUUUUGCUUUUUCAUUUUCUUGGUCUGCCACUUCUUUUGUUUCAUCCCUUUUAUUUUUAUUAUUAUUUCACAGUUCGAAGUCAUUUUGGUUACUCAGUAAAUAAUAGUAACAAUUAGUUCCAAUUGGUGUUCCUCCUCCGGUGAGUUUCGAAAAAGUCGAAACGGUUCCCAUAAGUUUUGGAGUCAAGAGUGUCUGCAACUUAUGAGAAGAUCUAACCGUUAGUUUUAAUUCAAAAUUUAGUAUGAUAUGGAUAAGAGGAUACCAAACAACUUUCGUGAAGAAACAAUUUCGAUUUGAGCUAUCGAAAUGGCGUUUUGGUACUCAUAAGGUGGCUGCCCAGUUUUCUGCGGAAAUUGGAAACUGGUUUGGUAUUUCAGACAUCUGCCACGAUCGCACCGUUAACAUUUUCUGAAAUUUUGAUAUGUUGUAGAUACUGAGCAGACGAACAACUUUCAAGAAGAAAGUAUUUCAAUCCGAGGUCCGCAAGUUAGAGUUCCGAGGCUAUUUACAUGGCUGUCAAAUUCUUUACGAAUUUUGAGUAUGUACUCUUUUGCUUCUGCAAAUGAUGAUAUACAGUCAUACAACAAUAUAUAUAGUUGCUUCAAGUAAAUCAAUUGUACUGAGAUUUGAAGAUGAAAUGAAAAUUGUUUCUUAUCUGUGAGAUUCCAGCUGAAGGAGGUGAACAGGAUUUGUGGCGUUGUGCUUUCCACUGACAUGAGAGCUUCUCGUGCUGAUAACGUGUUGUAAAAUCGACUGUGGGUGCAGUGGAAUAAAUGAAACAAGACACAAAAUUUACGAGGUUCCUCUACAGUCAGUGUGACUGGAGUACGUCCUCGGGGCAGCAGCGGCGCUUUCAUUAUAAUUUGAAAUAAUAGGAGUACAAAGAUAACUCUCUCUAUUAUCUCCUCUCAUCUUCCUCUAUUCUCUCUUCCUCUUCUUUCUCUCUCUUCUUUCCUCUCUCUCUCUCUUCCUUUCUUCCUUUCUUCCUUUUCCUUCUUCUCUCCCGUGAACCCAUUUCUUCCUCUUCCUCUCAUUCAUUUUAUAAUCAAAGAGGACACUAUUCACCUUACAAAUUUUCCACAAAUGAAUAGUGAAAAUAAUG
This 17421-nucleotide long non-coding RNA is filed under the name Malus domestica (apple). Its description in RNAcentral is "long non-coding RNA (MDOM_LNC001539)". The record is from RNAcentral. Lineage: Eukaryota; Viridiplantae; Streptophyta; Magnoliopsida; Rosales; Rosaceae.